Maniola jurtina (meadow brown) is the source of this 189-nucleotide long non-coding RNA. RefSeq lists it as uncharacterized. The record is from RefSeq and is a predicted model, not a curated record. Lineage: Eukaryota; Metazoa; Arthropoda; Insecta; Lepidoptera; Nymphalidae. The transcript has 3 exons.
ACCACAAGCCGAAUGCUUUACACUACGAAACAGGGGGGCUAGUGCAAGUGCUCAGUGCACCUACGUACUACAACAUGCUACGGGCUUAGAACAACACAAAUGGAGUGAUGAUGACAUAAAAGGCAUAAUUAAAACAGGCCGAAGAUGCCAUACCAUACUUAAAGCUUGUGAUUUAGUUUGACUAAGUUU